Molecule: long non-coding RNA, 1060 nt
Filed under: Setaria italica (foxtail millet)
Lineage: Eukaryota; Viridiplantae; Streptophyta; Magnoliopsida; Poales; Poaceae
Description: long non-coding RNA (SITA_LNC000618)
Source: RNAcentral
AUCUUGAAACCAAACUUACUAAAGCAAAGCAGAACUGCAGAACCAAACGCACGCCAAACGCUUCUGAUCAAGGCCCGGUCAGGACACGCGGGCGAGCUUAAGAGCUGGUGGUCUUGUGCUCGCCGGCAGCAGCGCCGGCGGCCUUGUGGUCCUCCUCGCCGGAGCCCUUGUUGUACCCGGGUAUCUUGUCCAUGAUCUUGCCCAGCAAGCCCUUCUUCUCCUUGCCGUCCGGGCUGCUCACGUCCUCGGUGUGCGGUGUCGGCGCUGGCGCGUGGACGGCGGGUGCGCCGGCAGCGUCCUCCGGUUUCUUGUGGCCGCCGGGGAGCUUCUCCUUGAUCUUGUCAAGGAGGCCUUUCUUCUCCUCCUCCGGUGCCGGUGGGGCGUCGGUCUUCGCGUCGUCCUCGAUCUUCUGGACGACGACGGCGUGGUCAUGGUGGUGGACGUGCGUCUCCACGGGCGGGGGAGCCGGCGCCGGGACGUACGGCUUGUGGUCGUCCUCCUUGUAAGCGUGCGUCUCCACGGGCGCUGGCGCCGGGGCCGGUACGGCCGUGUGGUGCUCGCCCUCGGCGUGGUCCUUGUGGCCGGGCAGCUUCUCCUUGAUCUUCUCCUUGAGGCCCUUCUUCUUCUUCCUCUUGACGAUCUCGCCGUUCUCGUCGAUCACCUCCUCUUCCUCGUCGCUCGACUGCACGCAACGAUCGCAGCCAGGAAUCAGUACACACAUAAAUGAUCAGUCGUGUCAUAAUGUAUUAAGAAGCCGCGUACCGAUCCAGAUUAAUUAAGCUAUGCAGAUCAUAUUAAUGAACUUACCGAGCUAGAGCUAGAGCUGGUGCGGUGCAGCUUGGCGAGGAGGCUCUCCUUCUUCUCCCCGGCCUCGUGCUCUUCCUUCUUGUGCUCGUGCUUCUCAGGCUCGGCCACCGUGACCUUUUCCAUGCCGGUCACCAGCUCCUCCUCCUGCUUCUUCUCCUGGUCCUCGGGCUUCUUCCUGCCGAGAAGGGUGUCCAGGAUCCCCCUGUCCUUCACCUCCACCUGAUCGGCGGCCUUCUCCUGGGCCUCGCCGCCC